Molecule: non-coding RNA, 21 nt
Filed under: Caenorhabditis elegans
Lineage: Eukaryota; Metazoa; Nematoda; Chromadorea; Rhabditida; Rhabditidae
Source: RNAcentral
UACGUUUGUAUUAUACAAUUU